Molecule: long non-coding RNA, 988 nt
Organism: Mirounga angustirostris (Northern elephant seal)
Lineage: Eukaryota; Metazoa; Chordata; Mammalia; Carnivora; Phocidae
Exons: 4
Source: RefSeq, a predicted model, not a curated record
AGCUGACGCGCAACCAGUUAAAGAACAGUCAUCAUCUCCCUCAAGGAAAUCGAGACGUGUUUCUGAAGCCAGACGGAAGGAAAAGUGGUUUCCAUUUAUGUGGGGGGCAAAAUUUGCAAGAGGCAAACCUGAAAAUAAGACUGAUCAUCAAUGUGAUGGAUUUUCCAGGAGCAAUUUGGAGGAAUUAAAGCCAUCUAAAAACGGAAGACAAACAAUUCUCUGUAAGGAUUCAACAGGCUGUGUCGUCAACCAAAUCCACACCCCUGUGAUCUCUCAUAAGCAGGUUCUUUCGACAUGAUUUUCCUGAGGUUCUCGAAUUUUCACAUCUGCCAAGCCACACAAGAGAAAAUUUUAGGAUGAACUGAAAAUUGUAUCCUAAAAAUGUUCAGCCUUUUGAGAGAAGUAAUCAAAGAUGCAGAGAUUUUGUUGUUGACUCCAAAAUUACAACCCAACCUUCAUAGCGAGUAUAAGAGUUUUGUUGACUACUGGGAGAUUACACAUAGAUUUAGGAAUGCUUCAUCAUGAUGGGAUAACUCCAGUUUGCCCCUAUGCUUAAGUUUCCACAUUAUCAGUGGGAACCUGAACAUUUCUAUCAAACUAACCACCUUUUUUUUUUUUUUUUUCAUUUUUAGCCUCACAGUGGCCAAUGACUACUUUGGAUUUGUUCUUACUCUUCUCUCAUUUGGCUGAAAUAGCCAAAUGUAACAAUAGCUUGCCUCAGUGUAAGCCUAUUUAGUGUCCCGUACAGCCUCAGCUUUUAGGCUUCACUAGUCUCUAGGGGAUACCAACUUUUAUCCCCUUGGGGGUAGGGGCAAAGGAAACAACCUGAGGCAGGUCUUCCAUGCCCCUGACAAACUUACACACAGCUUUCCCUCUAUAUGGAGAGAAGAUGACACCAUUAAGAGGAGUAAUUAUUUGUAAUUAUUUGUUCAGAGUCAUUCUACAUCAGUAGAAGAGCUGGUAUUGAAAUAAAUGAAAUAAAACUAAC